Molecule: long non-coding RNA, 452 nt
Filed under: Ananas comosus (pineapple)
Lineage: Eukaryota; Viridiplantae; Streptophyta; Magnoliopsida; Poales; Bromeliaceae
Description: long non-coding RNA (ACOM_LNC018768)
Source: RNAcentral
UCUGUCACUUGGGAGGAAUUCUACACUGUCGUACUUACACCACGUCAUUAAUAACAAGCCAAUCAUAUUUCUUAUUUUCAAACAAAAUUAAGUACAAUAAAAAUAUUUUUUUGCAAUCAUAAUGGGACAUGUACCCCUAAAAAGAAGAAAUUGUAUAUUGUCACACUUGCACCACGUCAUCAAUAAUAAGCCAAUCAUAUUUUUUCUUUUCAAGCAAAAGCACAAUAAAAAUAUUUUUUUGUAAUCAUGAUAAGACAUAUAUUUCUAAAAGGAGACAUUUGAUUGGUUUAUUAUGCCACGUCACCAAUAUGCCCGUCGCAUUUUAGAACUUUUCUCUAAAAGAAGACAUUUGAUUGGUUUGUUAUGACACUUCACCAAUAUAUUCGUUGCAUUCUAGAAUCUUUCGUCACUUGGACAUGGAUAGCUGUAUAUCGGUCUUUAAAAUCGGGAUG